This 872-nucleotide transfer RNA is filed under the name Rhizobium sp. Hc01. Its description in RNAcentral is "16S-23S ribosomal RNA intergenic spacer". The stretch from base 1 to 74 matches the Rfam family "tRNA". Lineage: Bacteria; Pseudomonadati; Pseudomonadota; Alphaproteobacteria; Hyphomicrobiales; Rhizobiaceae. The record is from RNAcentral.
GGGCCCGUAGCUCAGUUGGUUAGAGCACACGCUUGAUAAGCGUGGGGUCGGUAGUUCGAGUCUACCCGGGCCCACCAUUGGUUUUUGGAAUUUGCCUGAUCCCUGGCGGUUAUGCUGUCGGGUGUUUGCGAUGGUUGGGGCUGUAGCUCAGCUGGGAGAGCACCUGCUUUGCAAGCAGGGGGUCAGCGGUUCGAUCCCGCUCAGCUCCACCAAUCGCUAGCGCGAUUGGUGAGGUUAUGUCUUGACGCUGUCGCGAUCUUCGAUCGCUUCGCUGCGGACGGCGCGCGCCACGAGGCGCGACGGCCGACCGGCCUGUAUGGGUGGAUUGAUCGGUGAGUUGAAUAUCCUUUUGAAGAAAUAAAAGUUUGCAUCUUCUGCUAAGGAAGAUGCCUGUUCUGAAUACAUUGUGAAGAGAAGAUAUGUCUGGAAGCGUCCAGGUGUUUUGGGUUUAUGCCUGAAACGUCCGAGACCAAUCCUUGUGAAACCAUGUGAUGGCUUAGUCGGCCGGAAUUGGUGGAGGGGUUGGAGGUAGGAAGGAUCGCUUGUCCGAGGCAUUUUUGUUGUUGGAGCAUUUGCUCCUCUGAUGGGAAUGCUGGAUUGAUGUUGCCUGACCGCGCAUCACCGGAUGAUAUCUCGAGAAGCUGGUCUUAAUGAUACGACCUCGAAGUGCACCGGCGUGCCUUCAAAGAGGAUUGUAUCGAACACGUCGAUGUCAUCAGGAGAUGAUCUGGUUGUAAAAGGUAACCGGAUUUUGCUGGUUUGCGGCUACCGAGAGGUGACCGUAUGGCCGGAUUUGGAACCCCUUCGAGCGCAAGCGAGGAGGAUAGGAAUUCCAAAUCAAGCAAAUAUGGAUGAGCAUAGACAAUGAGAAC